GAACGCGAAGAACCUUACCAGGUCUUGACAUCCCUCUGACCGCUCUAGAGAUAGAGCUUUCCUUCGGGACAGAGGUGACAGGUGGUGCAUGGUUGUCGUCAGCUCGUGUCGUGAGAUGUUGGGUUAAGUCCCGCAACGAGCGCAACCCCUAUUGUUAGUUGCCAUCAUUGAGUUGGGCACUCUAGCGAGACUGCCGGUAAUAAACCGGAGGAAGGUGGGGAUGACGUCAAAUCAUCAUGCCCCUUAUGACCUGGGCUACACACGUGCUACAAUGGCUGGUACAACGAGUCGCAAGCCGGUGACGGCAAGCUAAUCUCUUAAAGCCAGUCUCAGUUCGGAUUGUAGGCUGCAACUCGCCUACAUGAAGUCGGAAUCGCUAGUAAUCGCGGAUCAGCACGCCGCGGUGAAUACGUUCCCGGGUCUUGUACACACC
RNAcentral lists this ribosomal RNA (433 nucleotides) under uncultured bacterium. RNAcentral's name for it is "bacterial SSU rRNA". It matches the Rfam family "Bacterial small subunit ribosomal RNA", at positions 957 to 1391 of the family's 1533-position model. The record is from RNAcentral.